GACGCCGUGGAAUAACCGUGAUCAAAGUCAUCCGUCCAUUGACAUCCCAUAGACACUGCUAUUUUAGAUCACUGCAAUCCAACACAUAGAACGCCUGCAGGGCCAAGACAUAAUUAAUUAUCGGCUGCACUUGGCGGUGUUCAGUGCGUUGUUGUUCGUCGAUUUGUUCCCUCAACUGAUUUACUGAUUUCCGGAAAAUAUUCGAAUUGAUUUGUAUAUUUGUGACCGGCUUUGCAUCUACUACCGGAAUAUUACAUUUUCAUUGGUAAAUAAAUUUCCUCUUUUUUUCGGUCACACGCGAUUACAAGUGGCUCUUCGGUCGUUGCACACGACCAUUGGUUUUUCAAUUGUAAUUUGUCGAACAGGGUUGUUUCCAAUUGCAAGUACAUCGUCUCACAAUUUUCCGGUCAAAACUACAAUUGAUAAUAGCAGAUUUUGAGGUUACCAAUGUCAACGGAAAAGAUAUUUUAUUAGUAUCUGGAGCUUUAUCAAAUAGCCUAGACAAAUUCAAGGUGGUCAAAUUAGUAGGAAGGCCGUUAAUAUUGGCAAAGGAGAAAAACUAAGGGUAUUUCAAAGGGCAAACCUACCAAAAGUAAAGGGUAGUAUAAGAAGAAUUUUUCGGGAUGAACCGGAAAAACGGAUACCACUUUUAAACGAACUAAGAGAAAGUGUUUACAAUAAGGGAAUCAACACCUUAUCGACGGUGUUUAUCCAAGGAUAUUUGCAUAAGGACAAUAGAUCACCUGUAUUGGUUUUCUGGAAUGGUAAUAAAGAUCAAACUAUAAUGGAAAGGAUAAGAUUGCCCAAUUUUUAAAACUUGUGCUUAACCGCGUACGACGAGGAGAACAACGGGAUAUUCUACUUAAAACUAGCCAAUCUAUCUAAGGAAAACAAAGUGGUAUUAAUCAGUAUACCAAUGAGAAAAUAUGAGAACAACGGGAGAUUGUUAAAUUUAGUAGAAGCUCAUGGCAUAAUGUGUAAAGAUAAUCACGGAGACCGGGACCAUCACAACCCAAUGGGACUGCUAAUAACAGUGUCAAUCAGCAUCAAACUGAGCCAUUGCAAACAAUUUAACGACAUACAAAUCAACGAGAAUGUAUUUUGAAAACCAAGGACAAAUUAAAAUCAACACGGUGGAAUGGACAAUAGCUACCUUGACCUAAACCAUUUCGCAUCAAAACAAAUAUUGUUAAAUGAACAUUUAAAUCAAUCUCGGGAACUUUGUAUAAGUAGCUCAGACGCAGAACCGAUUUCAACAUCAAACUCAAACAUAACUUUAAAAACUGGUAAUCAGACUUCUUGUUGGGAAUUAUGGAAAGACUGGUAUGAAUUAGGCCAACAAAUAACUUCAUACACGGGAGAGGUGAUAUCAACAGACUUUGUGAGGGAGAAAAGGGAUUUGUCUUCUUCCGUUUUAGAAAAACAUAAUAUUUGGAAAAUUAAAUAAUAAUAUAGCUUCAAAGUAUAAUAAAUUGAUUGAUCAAAUUGAUAAACUUGAGUUGAAUCAAAAUGAAAAUGGAAAAAGAACAAAUAAAAAUAAUUAAAAAACAAAAUUAAAUAUAUAUCCAAAUUUUAGCUUAUAUUCUAAUAAUACCGUAAUGAUGUUAUUAAUUCAUAAUUACAAAAAACAAUUUUGAAA
Adelges cooleyi (spruce gall adelgid) is the source of this 1639-nucleotide long non-coding RNA. RefSeq lists it as uncharacterized. The record is from RefSeq and is a predicted model, not a curated record. The transcript is spliced from 3 exons. NCBI's taxonomy places the organism in Eukaryota, Metazoa, Arthropoda, Insecta, Hemiptera, Adelgidae.